RNAcentral lists this ribosomal RNA (253 nucleotides) under uncultured bacterium. Its description in RNAcentral is "partial 16S ribosomal RNA". It matches the Rfam family "Bacterial small subunit ribosomal RNA", at positions 524 to 776 of the family's 1533-position model. The record is from RNAcentral.
UACGGAGGGGGUUAGCGUUGUUCGGAAUUACUGGGCGUAAAGCGUACGUAGGCGGAUUAGUAAGUUGGGGGUUAAAUCCCGGGGCUCAACCCCGGAACUGCCUCCAAAACUACUAGUCUUGAGAUCGUGAGAGGUGAGUGGAAUUCCGAGUGUAGAGGUGAAAUUCGUAGAUAUUCGGAGGAACAUCAGUGGCGAAGGCGACUUCCUGGCCUGUUCUUGACGCUGAGGCGCGAAAGCUAGGGUAGCAAACGGG